AGUGAACGCUGGCGGUAGGCCUAACACAUGCAAGUCGAACGGCAGCACAGUAAGAGCUUGCUCUUACGGGUGGCGAGUGGCGGACGGGUGAGGAAUACAUCGGAAUCUACUUUUUCGUGGGGGAUAACGUGGGGAAACUUACGCUAAUACCGCAUACGACCUACGGGUUAAAGCAGGGGAUCUUCGGACCUUGCGCGAUUGAAUGAGCCGAUGUCGGAUUAGCUAGUUGGCGGGGUAACGGCACACCAAGGCGACGAUCCGUAGCUGGUCUGAGAGGAUGAUCAGCCACACUGGAACUGAGACACGGUCCAGACUCCUACGGGAGGCAGCAGUGGGGAAUAUUGGACAAUGGGCGAAAGCCUGAUCCAGCCAUGCCGCGUGGGUGAAGAAGGCCUUCGGGUUGUAAAGCCCUUUUGUUGGGAAAGAAAAGCAGCAGGUUAAUACCCCGCUGUUCUGACGGUACCCAAAGAAUAAGCACCGGCUAACUUCGUG
Molecule: ribosomal RNA, 492 nt
Filed under: uncultured bacterium
Lineage: Bacteria
Description: partial 16S ribosomal RNA
Rfam family: Bacterial small subunit ribosomal RNA
Source: RNAcentral